CGGGCAGUCAGUCGACUUGGGCCUUUCGAAUCCUCUCGAUUCAGCCAUCCAUCUUUAAUAGGCAAGAACAACAUACAUAAUGGAUUAACCACUUCCGGAGAUUCACCUGGAACUCCGGAGUAUGUUUUGUGGUGCGGCGGUCAAACAAAACGCAUCCAAUCCUCGACUUUAACAAGGAGGAAACAGGAACCAUAAAGAAGGCAGCGGCGUCCCGACGGGGAAAGCGCGGAAAAACCAACUGAGACGAAUUACUCCGGGAAGGCGCAACCAGAGCCGGCGACGUGAUGAUUCCGCGGAAUUAAAUCACGUAACACAAUAUGGUGGCUGUGGUGACGACUUCGAGGCUACAAAGAGAGGGCAUUUUGUGGCGACAUUAUGUACAUUCGCCCAUUUUUCUUCCAUAAAAAUAAAAGGAAUAAUUCGAAUUUGAAAAGAAACACGAAAAUAGGUAUCCUAACAGGAUAAACACACAAAAAAAGGACGAGCCGCCCCUGUACUUUCGGAUGGUCUCUCUUCACGGCGUAUUAGCCACGUUUGCAUGUGUACGAAUGGACGGAUCUGAUUCGAUCGGUACAAUGAGAAAACAUCAAUCUUGCUAAUGACUACGCUAUAUUCGCAUAUUCCGGGAGCAGAAUGAACCCGGUGUGUCUGCUUUGAACCGAUAAAUCAUACAGUUUUUUGUGAAGAGAAGUCGAGAUAGAGUUGAAGGAAAAUUUUAUUUAUUUGUCUGCUUAUUGUCUGCAAUGUGAAUAAAAAUUUGAUUUAUUUCAGACGAUUUGCCCGUCAUCAUCGAAUCAUGUUUUUAGAUGUACUUAUGUUAUCGGGGAGAUUGGGAUCGAGUGGAGAUGGAUGAAUGCGAGUUCGGGUCGGCAUUUUUACAAGGAAAGAAAUAACUUUUUUCUCUGUUAUAAACUUGCAAAAUCCCACGAAACUACUUACAUCCUUUCAAGACAUCGCAAUAACACUCACUACAAUAAGAAGGAUGCGCCUGAAUUCAGCGGUAACAUAAGAAUUUUGCAACGCAAAGACGACAAUCCAAUAAAAUAGGAGUAAUAUUGUAUACAGAAUGUGCAUCCAUGCACUAGCAUAAUAUAAAUUUUAUUCUGUAUGUAUUUGGACGGUAUUAUUUA
This is a long non-coding RNA of Zophobas morio, 1130 nucleotides long. RefSeq lists it as uncharacterized. The transcript is spliced from 3 exons. The record is from RefSeq and is a predicted model, not a curated record. Lineage: Eukaryota; Metazoa; Arthropoda; Insecta; Coleoptera; Tenebrionidae.